Molecule: small RNA, 72 nt
Organism: Xanthomonas oryzae pv. oryzae
Lineage: Bacteria; Pseudomonadati; Pseudomonadota; Gammaproteobacteria; Lysobacterales; Lysobacteraceae
Rfam family: Xanthomonas sRNA sX9
Source: Rfam
ACGUACAAAGCGCGAGGUUUUCUGUGCGCUGUCUACGCCCACCUGAUGACUGGUCGCUACGUGUUGUCAGCC